AGAGGUGGCGAGCGUUGUUCGGAAUUACUGGGCGUAAAGGGCGCGUAGGCGGUCUUGUAAGUCUCGUGUGAAAUCCCUCGGCUUAACUGAGGAACUGCACGGGAUACUGCAUGACUUGAGGUCGGGAGAGGGAAGCGGAAUUCCGGGUGUAGCGGUGAAAUGCGUACAUAUCCGGAGGAACACCGGUGGCGAAGGCGGCUUCCUGGACCGACUCUGACGCUGAGGCGCGAAAGCUAGGGGAGCAAACGGGAUUACAUACCCCGGUAGUCCUAACUGUAAACGAUGAUAACUAGAUGUGUGAGGUAUUGACCCCUUACGUGUCGAAGCUAACGCGAUAAGUUAUCCGCCUGGGGAGUACGGUCGCAAGAUUA
RNAcentral lists this ribosomal RNA (371 nucleotides) under uncultured bacterium. Its description in RNAcentral is "bacterial SSU rRNA". It matches the Rfam family "Bacterial small subunit ribosomal RNA", at positions 527 to 896 of the family's 1533-position model. The record is from RNAcentral.